UAAUAACCCUCACGUAUUGAACACUUGUAAGUGCAAAAUUGGUAAUUGUCCAAUUUAUGAACACCGACAGAAGGGAUCGGCAGGUGGGUGGAGAAAAGAUAGACGGGUGAUUGAGUUCGACGAUUUAGUUAGAAAUUUAGCUCACUGCAAGGAAUGUCGUCUUGGACCUUUAUUCUCACAAGCGACAACAUUGUGGGGGAGCUUCAAAAUGGCUUGGGUGGCUAUCUGUACGUUAUGUGUUCGAAUUUAGAGUGAGGAGCUGUAAAUUUGGUUUCAUAUGGAACAACACACUAGAACAAAUCGAAGGGGUGUCCUGCUUUGAAAUAAACACAAAGCUUGGAUUUGCAAUGAUUGACAGCAUUGGUGGGGCUGUCAAAGUUAACAAUUUCUUUGCUACUCUUGAUCUUGCUGAUAAGCCUAGAAAAUCUUAAGGAAAUUGAGAGAAGGGCUGGUGAAGUGAUAGAAGCUGUCUGAGCAAAAUCACAGAGACGGUCAGCUGAAGAGGCUUACAAAUAAUGAAAUGGAGUAUUGGUCAUACAGCAGACCCAGAUAUACAGACCUUACCAGAUGCAUUUCUAAGGGAAAGUUCAAGCCAGUAAAGACAGAAAAUCCUACAUUUAUAUCAUUUGAUUUGGAAACUACAGAUCUAAAGGAGUUGACAUUUGCUUUCCUAAAACCAGAUUUUGAAUAUAGAAAAGAGAUAAAAGUCAUAUGUCACAUUUCUAAACUGUGUAAAGUAUUGAAAUAAUCAUUAU
Molecule: long non-coding RNA, 755 nt
Organism: Ruditapes philippinarum (Manila clam)
Lineage: Eukaryota; Metazoa; Mollusca; Bivalvia; Venerida; Veneridae
Exons: 3
Source: RefSeq, a predicted model, not a curated record